AACGAACGCUGGCGGCAUGCCUAAUACAUGCAAGUCGAGCGAACAGAUGAAGUGCUUGCACUUCUGACGUUAGCGGCGAACGGGUGAGUAACACGUAAGGAAUCUACCUAUAAGCGGGGGAUAACAUUCGGAAACGGGUGCUAAUACCGCAUAAUAUCUUCUUCCGCAUGGAAGAAGAUUGAAAGACGGCUCUGCUGUCACUUAUAGAUGACCUUGCGGUGCAUUAGUUAGUUGGGGGGGUAAUGGCCUACCAAGUCGAAGAUGCAUAGCCGACCUGAGAGGGGGAUCGGCCCCAUUGGGACUGAGACCCGGCCCAAACCCCGAAGGGAUGCAGCAGUAGGGAAUCGUCCGCAAGGGACGAAAGCCUGACCGAGCAACGCCGCGUGAGUGAAGAAGGUUUUCGGAUCGUAAAACUCUGUUGUUAGAGAAGAACAAGGAUGAGAGUAACUGUUCAUCCCUUGACGGUAUCUAACCAGAAAGCCACGGCUAACUACGUGCCAGCCGCCGCCGUAA
Molecule: ribosomal RNA, 513 nt
Filed under: uncultured bacterium
Lineage: Bacteria
Description: partial 16S ribosomal RNA
Rfam family: Bacterial small subunit ribosomal RNA
Source: RNAcentral